GACGAACGCUGGCGGUAUGCUUAACACAUGCAAGUCGAACGAGAAGCUUUUAAUGAACCUUCGGGUGAUUUAAGAAGCAGACAGUGGCGAACGGGUGAGUAACGCGUGGGCAACCUGCCUUUCGGAGCGGAAUAGCCUCGGGAAACCGGGAGUAAAGCCGCAUAACAUUAUUUUUCGCAUGAAGAAAUAAUCAAAACUCCGGUGCCGAAAGAUGGGCCCGCGUCCUAUUAGCUGGUUGGUGAGGCAACGGCUCACCAAGGCGACGAUAGGUAGCCGGUCUGAGAGGGCGAACGGCCACACUGGAACUGAGACACGGUCCAG
Molecule: ribosomal RNA, 321 nt
Filed under: uncultured bacterium
Lineage: Bacteria
Description: bacterial SSU rRNA
Rfam family: Bacterial small subunit ribosomal RNA
Source: RNAcentral